This 21-nucleotide non-coding RNA is filed under the name Caenorhabditis elegans. The record is from RNAcentral. Lineage: Eukaryota; Metazoa; Nematoda; Chromadorea; Rhabditida; Rhabditidae.
UGAGCACGUCAUAUUUUUAUU